AUACGGAGGACGCGAGCGUUAUCCGGAUUCAUUGGGUUUAAAGGGUGCGCAGGCGGCCAUUUAAGUCAGCGGUUAAAUCGUGGGGCUCAACCCCAUUCUGCCGUUGAUACUGGGUGGCUUGAUUGCGGUCGAGGUUGGCGGAAUUCGUUGUGUAGCGGUGAAAUGCAUAGAUAUGACGAAGAACACCGAUUGCGUAGGCAGCUGACCAGACCGCAAAUGACGCUCAUGCACGAAAGUGCGGGGAUCGAACAGGAUUAGAUACCCUGGUAGUCCUCACAGUAAACGAUGAAUACUUGUUUUCGGCGAUAUAAUGUCGGAGGCAAAGCGAAAGCGAUAAGUAUUCCACCUGGGGAGUACGCCGGCAACGGUGAAACUCAAAUGAAUUGGCGGGG
This 392-nucleotide ribosomal RNA is filed under the name uncultured bacterium. RNAcentral's name for it is "partial 16S ribosomal RNA". It matches the Rfam family "Bacterial small subunit ribosomal RNA", at positions 523 to 918 of the family's 1533-position model. The record is from RNAcentral.